This 253-nucleotide ribosomal RNA is filed under the name uncultured bacterium. RNAcentral describes it as "partial 16S ribosomal RNA". It matches the Rfam family "Bacterial small subunit ribosomal RNA", at positions 524 to 776 of the family's 1533-position model. The record is from RNAcentral.
UACGGAGGGUGCAAACGUUGCUCGGAAUCAUUGGGCGUAAAGCGCACGUAGGCGGCCCAGCAAGCGGGGAGUGAAAGCCCUCGGCUUAACCGAGGAAGUGCUUUCCGAACUACUGGGCUUGAAUACUGGAGAGGGUCGCGGAAUUCCCGGUGUAGAGGUGAAAUUCGUAGAUAUCGGGAGGAACACCAGUGGCGAAGGCGGCGACCUGGACAGAUAUUGACGCUGAGGUGCGAAAGCGUGGGGAGCAAACAGG